UCUACGGGGUGCAGCAGUGAGGAAUAUUUGUCAAUGGACGCAAGUCUGAACCAGCCAUGCCGCGUGCAGGAAUACGGCUCUAUGAGUUGUAAACCGCUUUUGUACGAGGGCAAAGGCAGAUACGUGUAUCUCUCUGAGAGUAUCCUACGAAUAAGGAUCGGCUAACUCCGUGCCAGCAGCCGCGGCAAUAAGGAGGAUUCAAGCGUUAUCCGGAAUUAUUGGGUUUAAAGGGGGCGUAGGCGGUCGGAUAAGUGAGAGGUGAAAUCCCGGGGCUCAACUUCGGAAUUGCAUAUGAUACUGGUCGUCUAGAGAGUUGUUGCGGUAAGCGGAAUGUAUGGGGUAGCGGUGAAAUGCGUAGAGAUC
This 363-nucleotide ribosomal RNA is filed under the name uncultured bacterium. Its description in RNAcentral is "partial 16S ribosomal RNA". It matches the Rfam family "Bacterial small subunit ribosomal RNA", at positions 338 to 698 of the family's 1533-position model. The record is from RNAcentral.